This 601-nucleotide ribosomal RNA is filed under the name uncultured fungus. RNAcentral describes it as "eukaryotic LSU rRNA". It matches the Rfam family "Eukaryotic large subunit ribosomal RNA", at positions 34 to 649 of the family's 3401-position model. The record is from RNAcentral. Lineage: Eukaryota; Fungi.
UUAAGCAUAUCAAUAAGCGGAGGAAAAGAAACCAACAGGGAUUACCUCAGUAACGGCGAGUGAAGCGGUAAUAGCUCAAAUUUGAAAUCUGGCUCUUUCAGGGUCCGAGUUGUAAUUUGUAGAAGAUGCUUCGGGUGUGGCACCGGUCUAAGUUCCUUGGAACAGGACGUCAUAGAGGGUGAGAAUCCCGUAUGUGACUGGCUGCCUCCGCCCAUGUGAAGCUCUUUCGACGAGUCGAGUUGUUUGGGAAUGCAGCUCUAAAUGGGUGGUAAAUUUCAUCUAAAGCUAAAUAUUGGCCAGAGACCGAUAGCGCACAAGUAGAGUGAUCGAAAGAUGAAAAGCACUUUGGAAAGAGAGUUAAACAGUACGUGAAAUUGUUGAAAGGGAAGCGCUUGCAACCAGACUUGCCCGCGGUUGAUCAUCCGGUGUUCUCACCGGUGCACUCUGCCGCGUUCAGGCCAGCAUCGGUUUUGGUGGUUGGAUAAAGGCCCUGGGAAUGUGGCUCCUCUCGGGGAGUGUUAUAGCCCUGGGUGCAAUGCAGCCUACCGGGACCGAGGACCGCGCUUCGGCUAGGAUGCUGGCGUAAUGGUUGUAAGCGACC